This 524-nucleotide ribosomal RNA is filed under the name uncultured bacterium. Its description in RNAcentral is "bacterial SSU rRNA". It matches the Rfam family "Bacterial small subunit ribosomal RNA", at positions 8 to 518 of the family's 1533-position model. The record is from RNAcentral.
AGAGUUUGAUCCGUGGCUCAAGGAACGAACGCUGGCGGCGCGUCUUAAGCAUGCAAGUCGAACGGCAAGAGGUAGCAAUACCUCCUAGAGUGGCGGACUGGUGAGUAACACGUGGUGACAUACCCUUCAGAUGGGGAUAGCUAUUAGAAAUAGUAGAUAAUACCGAAUACGAGCACAGGGGUUAGAGAUCUGUGAGGAAAGGAGCUAAGGCUCCGCUGAAGGAAUGGCCUGCGGCCCAUUAGCUAGUUGGUGAGGUAAGAGCCCACCAAGGCGAUGAUGGGUAUCCGGCCUUAGAGGGUGAACGGACACAUUGGGACUGAGAUACGGCCCAGACUCCUACGGGAGGCAGCAGCUAAGAAUAUUCCGCAAUGGACGAAAGUCUGACGGAGCGACGCCGCGUGGAUGAAGAAGGCCGGAAGGUUGUAAAAUCCUUUUGAAACUGAAGAAUAAGCGUUGUAGGGAAUGACAGCGUGGUGACAGUUAGGUUUUGAAUAAGCAACGGCUAAUUACGUGCCAGCCGCCGC